RNAcentral lists this ribosomal RNA (254 nucleotides) under uncultured bacterium. RNAcentral's name for it is "partial 16S ribosomal RNA". It matches the Rfam family "Bacterial small subunit ribosomal RNA", at positions 524 to 776 of the family's 1533-position model. The record is from RNAcentral.
UACGUAGGGGGCAAGCGUUUGUCCGGAUUUAUUGGGCGUAAAGAGCGUGUAGGCGGUUUGGUAGGUCCGUUGUGAAAACUCGAGGCUCAACCUCGAGACGCCGAUGGAAACCAUCAGACUAGAGUCCGGAAGAGGAGAGUGGAAUUCCUGGUGUAGCGGUGAAAUGCGCAGAUAUCAGGAGGAACACCGGUGGCGAAGGCGGUUCUCUGGGCAUGUCCUGACGCUGAGACGCGAAAGCGUGGGGAGCAAACAGG